Molecule: long non-coding RNA, 471 nt
Organism: Mus caroli (Ryukyu mouse)
Lineage: Eukaryota; Metazoa; Chordata; Mammalia; Rodentia; Muridae
Source: RefSeq, a predicted model, not a curated record
CUAUCCUGCCAAAACUGCAAGAAACCUUUAUGAAGAAGGCAUAGAUUCCAGAAGGGCUUCCUAGAUUGUUCAGAGUCUGCCUGGAGAAGCAAUAAAACCAUCCCAGACCAUCGUGGGACGCUCUUUCACCUACAGCUACAGCCACUCUCUCCUUGUCUUAGAGGGAAGCUGGAUGCAAAGAAGACAACCCUGAGUUUUAUCACUAGAAGGAGAUGAAAACUGAGAAGGGACAAAAUAGAAACUGUGCUCCACCACUGCUAAUCAGCAGUAUGACUCUUGGAUGUGAAGGAAUCCCUCUAUCUCUUGGAGCUUUUUCUUAUCUACCAAAAGAAUGAGUUGGACAAGAUCUGCAAGAGCUAUUCCUCAGGAGUUUCCAGCAUCUGGGUCUAAUGAUGACCUCUGUUGAAGACAAUGGGGACAAAGAUGAGGUGGUGGCAUUAUUUUAUUUUCCAAAGCUCUGAAUAAAGUGGA